RNAcentral lists this ribosomal RNA (468 nucleotides) under uncultured bacterium. Its description in RNAcentral is "partial 16S ribosomal RNA". It matches the Rfam family "Bacterial small subunit ribosomal RNA", at positions 28 to 507 of the family's 1533-position model. The record is from RNAcentral.
GACGAACGCUGGCGGCGUGCUUAACACAUGCAAGUCGAACGGAAAGGCCCUGCUUUUGUGGGGUGCUCGAGUGGCGAACGGGUGAGUAACACGUGAGUAACCUGCCCUUGACUUUGGGAUAACUUCAGGAAACUGGGGCUAAUACCGGAUAGGAGCUCCUGCUGCAUGGUGGGGGUUGGAAAGUUUCGGCGGUUGGGGAUGGACUCGCGGCUUAUCAGCUUGUUGGUGGGGUAGUUGCUUACCAAGGCUUUGACGGGUAGCCGGCCUGAGAGGGUGACCGGCCACAUGGGGACUGAGAUACGGCCCAGACUCCUACGGGAGGCAGCAGUGGGGAAUAUUGCACAAUGGGCGGAAGCCUGAUGCAGCAACGCCGCGUGCGGGAUGACGGCCUUCGGGUUGUAAACCGCUUUCGCCUGUGACGAAGCGUGAGUGACGGUAAUGGGUAAAGAAGCACCGGCUAACUACGUG